RNAcentral lists this transfer RNA (67 nucleotides) under Dipodomys ordii (Ord's kangaroo rat). It matches the Rfam family "tRNA". From Rfam's summary of the family: Transfer RNA (tRNA) molecules are approximately 80 nucleotides in length. The record is from Rfam by way of RNAcentral. Lineage: Eukaryota; Metazoa; Chordata; Mammalia; Rodentia; Heteromyidae.
GGUGGCUCAGCGCGGUAGAGCGCUUGCCUUGCAUGCAUGAGGCCCUGGGUUUGACUCCCCAGCACCA